GCUGGGUGUGGUAGCUCAUGCCUGUAAUCCCAGCAACUUGGGAGGCUGAGGCAGGAGGAUUGCAAGUUCAAAGCCAGUCUCAGCAACUUCGCAAGAUCUCAAGCAACUUAGUGAGACCUUGUUUCAA
Molecule: small RNA, 127 nt
Filed under: Marmota monax (woodchuck)
Lineage: Eukaryota; Metazoa; Chordata; Mammalia; Rodentia; Sciuridae
Source: RNAcentral